This is a non-coding RNA of Xyrichtys novacula (pearly razorfish), 984 nucleotides long. Lineage: Eukaryota; Metazoa; Chordata; Actinopteri; Labriformes; Labridae. The record is from the annotation of a GenBank genome assembly.
ACAAUAACAAUCUUUACAAACAGUUUCAAUCAGGAUUCCGCACCCACCACAGCACUAAAACUGCCCUCAUCAAAGUCACCAACGACCUCCUCAUUUCUGCUGACUCCGGCCAACUCUCCAUCCUCAUCCUCCUUGACCUCUCUGCUGCUUUCGACACCAUCAAUCACGCCAUCCUCUUGUCCUGCCUACACUCCCUCCUCAAUAUCACAGACACCGCUCUUAACUGGAUCCACUCAUAUCUCACAGACCGGAAUCACUUCAUCCAUAUCAACAACUGCUCCUCCACAACUGCCCGUGUCCCAAGGUGUCCCCCAGGGCUCGGUGCUUGGUCCCCUCCUCUUCAUUAUCUACCUCCUCCCUCUUGGCCACAUCCUCCGUCAACACAAUCUUCACUUCCACUGCUAUGCUGAUGAUAUUCAAUUAUACAUCUCUUCCACCUCCAUCACCCCCCAGACCCACCGCUCCCUCUCAAACUGCCUCUCUGAUGUCAAACACUGGAUGGACAGCAACCUUCUCAAGCUCAACUAUGACAAAACAGAUCUCCUCAUCAUUGGCCCAAACUCCCUCACCUCCACAGUCACAGACUUUCAUCUCUGAAUUGACAACUCCACCCUCUCCCCCUCCUCCCACUAUCGCAACCUUGGUAUUCUCUUCGACAGCAAACUCUCCUUCAAUCAGCACGUAAAGCAAAUCACCAAAACAGCCUACUACCACCUCAAAAACAUUGCCCGCCUACGCCCCUCCCUCUCCUACCCCGCAGCUGAAACCCUCAUACAUGCAUUCAUUUCAUCCCGUCUAGAUUAUUGUAACAGUCUCCUCCAUGACACUACCUCCACUCUCCUCAAUAAACUUCAGCUCAUCCAGAACUCUGCCGCCCGCCUCCUCACCCCCACACGCUCCCACCAACACAUCACCCCCGUCCUCCAGAACCUUCACUGGCUCCCCAUCCCCCAACGCAUUCAGUACAAAAUCCUCCUUCUCACC